UACGUAGGCCGCGAGCGUUGUUCGGAAUUACUGGGCGUAAAGAGUGUGUAGGCGGUGCUCUAAGUUCGGUGUGAAAUCUCCUGGCUCAACUGGGAGGGUGCGCCGGAAACUGGAGUGCUUGAGCGUGGGAGAGGAAAGCGGAAUUCCUGGUGUAGCGGUGAAAUGCGUAGAUAUCAGGAGGGACAUCUGUGGUGUAGACGGCUUUCUGGACCAUAGCUGACGCUGAGACACGAAAGCGUGGGUAGCAAACAGG
Molecule: ribosomal RNA, 253 nt
Filed under: uncultured bacterium
Lineage: Bacteria
Description: partial 16S ribosomal RNA
Rfam family: Bacterial small subunit ribosomal RNA
Source: RNAcentral